UGCCAGCCGCCGCGGUAAGACGGAGGGCGCAAGCGUUGUUCGGAAUUACUGGGCGUAAAGGGCGGGCAGGUGGUCCGUUAAGUCGUCUGUGAAAAUCCGGGGCUCAACCCCGCGAAAUGCAGACGAUACUGGCGGACUAGAGAUCGGUAGAGGCUAGCGGAAUUCCUGGUGUAGCGGUGGAAUGCGUAGAUAUCAGGAAGAACACCCGUGGCGAAGGCGGCUAGCUGGGCCGAGUCUGACACUCAUCCGCGAAAGCGUGGGGAGCAAACAGGAUUAGAUA
This 280-nucleotide ribosomal RNA is filed under the name uncultured bacterium. RNAcentral describes it as "partial 16S ribosomal RNA". It matches the Rfam family "Bacterial small subunit ribosomal RNA", at positions 506 to 784 of the family's 1533-position model. The record is from RNAcentral.